This is a long non-coding RNA of Salarias fasciatus (jewelled blenny), 1533 nucleotides long. RefSeq lists it as uncharacterized. The record is from RefSeq and is a predicted model, not a curated record. Lineage: Eukaryota; Metazoa; Chordata; Actinopteri; Blenniiformes; Blenniidae. The transcript has 3 exons.
UGCUGGACCUUUUCUAGAAGGUUUAUCUGCGUUUAUUUGCGUUUCACUUCGACUGCACCGCAGCUUCCAGCGUCACGCACGGAUAACCGCGUCUUUUCCUGCUGCUCAGGAAGAAGAGGUUGGAGCCCCCAGACCCCCCGAGGCUGGAGGCCGGAACCUUCAAGAGAUGGAUUCACCUCCAAGGAGACGGAGACGGCACAGCAGAGACCAGCCGUUUAACCUGUCAGGUCUGGUCAAUAAACUUCAGCUGGAUUCAGAUUCUUUCACCUCGCUGCUCAACAGCAAUGAACCAAGGAUGAGGGAGAUCGUGAAGGAGCUUCUGAGGAUUUCUGAAGAAGUCAAAGACAUGCAGAGAAGAGCAGACAUUCGAAGAACAGCCGGAGCUGUAGGAGCUGCAGGUGGAGCUGCUCUCCUCCUGCUCAGUGCAGCAGUCCCGGUUCUUCUUCCAUUUGCUGCUGCUGCUGCUGCUGCAGCUGGUGGUGCUGCUGCUCUUACAGGUGGAGGUGUUGUCAUCAGUGCAAAUAUCACUAAAAUGAUGAGUGAGAGUGGAAGUGCUGAAGAGGUGAAGAAUCUGGGAGAAGAGUUGAUGAAGAUUGUUGAACCGAUGAAGCAGCUCUUGGUUCAAAUCCAUCAAACAUGUGAAGAUCUGGAGGAGAACGUCUCCAAGUAUCAGGCUGAAGAGUCCCUGAAAGAUGUGGAGGAUCUUCAGAAGGUCCUCCAUCAGGUGUCUGAGCUGAAGAAGAAGAGUGGAGGAGCUGUUCAUGUGCUGGAGGUGUUGAUUCAAUCAGUAACCGGCCUGCUGCUGCUGCUCGUGAACGUUUUCAGAGUCACUGCAACACCUGAAGAAGACCAGAAGCUGAGAGACGCCAUCAUUCAGUCAGCUGAUCAGAGCCAGAGGCUCACUGAGGACUUCUGUCUGAUGAGGGAGGAACUGGCAAAGUUCAGGAAGUGAAGAGAACACACACACACACACACACACACACACACACACACACACACACACACACACACACACACACACACACACACACACACAACACACACACACACACACACAGCCCCUCCACUUCCUCCUGGAAGCUUCCUGGAUCUGUUCGUUCCUUCACUGUUUUGGAUUUCAUUCAGGUUUAAAGAAUAUUAACCCUGCACAGCUGAUGGGCCUGAUUCAGUUCCUGAAAUCCUGCAGAUCCCAUCUUGUAGCGCUCCACAGACCAGUGGUUUCACUCAGUUAAAAUUUUACCAGCCCAAUCAGGGGAAAGAGGCGGGAGCUGCGGGAGGAGCGGACGUGUUGAGAAGACAUUCGUUCAAUCGCCAGCUCCUGAUUGUUUUGUUUCUUCCAUUUUCUUCUAGUUCCUGCUGACAUAUGAUACUCUGUACAUAACCUGUUACAAAAGUACACAACUAAAUAAUAUUACGUACAAAUUAAACAUGUUUUAUUACUUCCUGCUCCUCUUCAGAUCUGUUUUCUUUGUAUUCUGUUCUUUGUUUUUCAACUCAUUUUUUAUGUUUGAAAUAAAUUCAUUCUUACAUUCA